UUUUGAAAUCAGCAAGCAUCAGGGAAAAAGAGCAGAUCUAAAUGCAGUCAGAGUCACCUGCCUUAGGAUCAGCAGCAAUUUUCCAUACAGACACUUUUCUACCACAGAGUGUUGACGCACUGAAGGAGAAACACCCUGUGGAAAUGUGGCAACACUGAUAAAGUUUUCAAAGAAUAUUAAAUAUCUUUCUGCCUUCUUUCUGACCGGUUUGGCUACCAGCCUCUUCACCCCUCAGUAGGUCACCCACAGGCUGCAAUAAUGCAAGGCUUCCAGGUUCCCUUUGGAACUGAAAUGACAUGAAGCAGUGUUUCACUUCCAUUAGAUGUUCUUUUAGCCUCUUGGAAUUUUGUCCUCUUUGCUGGAUGGAUUUAUUUCAAGGUUUGCAGGCAAGCAGCAAUUGCUCUCUAGAUCAGGCCUUGAUCAGAACUGCUGUGGGCAUAUCUACUCUACAACGUACAUAAAAUCAAUAGAAAGGGUGAGAGGAGAUGCUUUCUUGUAGUUUGUGGUGUUCUGCCUCUUCUCAGGCAUGAAAUAAAUACUGUAAAAAUUGUACAAGACCGGAUGCAGAAUGAACCUUGCGUAUAUUAGACUGGGCAGGGUAUAGGUGCUAUUUUAGACAGAGCAUAAUUCUAAGCCUUUGAAACAUUUUUGAAUAUAAAGAAAAUGUGUGUUUUUUAGGUAUGUUAUUUAGUUAGUAAAAAAGAAGUAAAGCAAUUUAUGAGAGUGUAAUAUUUCAGUGUGUCUACAGUACUUAUUAUGUGUGCUUUCUUUCUUGUCUUACCAAUGAGAAGAAAGGUUCAUGACUGAAGAUCUCAUUAUAUAUUAUUCAACUUCUAUAAUUUUAAUAUUCAAACAUCUCUGCAAUGACUUGAUUUAUGCAAAGAAUCUGUCUUAAAAGUAUUGCUUAUUCUUAGGGAACAGUUUUUCUUAGUGUCUAUCGUAUCUCCUGACUUCCGACUCUUUUCUCUCAAUAUUACUCUAAAUUUUGUAGCAUCCAUUCUUAAUAUGUACUUGUGUUAUUACCACCUAAUCAUACAUUUUCUCUGCUUAAAUAAUAGUACUUGUUGGAGAAUAAUCAACUGUUAUCAUCUCUUGCUAAACAGAAAACAUUAACAAGAGAGUGUGGACAAUGGUUCAGAAAUCGCCCCUUUUACUCCACUGCAAAUGGGGAAAUAGCAGCCUGACAGGCUGGAUCAUGUAGCCAGAAGGAGUCUCAUGAAAUUUAGCAAAGGAGAAUGCUGAGUCCUGCACAUGACGAGGAAUAGACUUAUGAAGUUUAACAACAGGAAAUACAAAGUCCUGGACAGCAGGAGAAACAACCCUAUGCACCAGCAUAAGCUCAGGGCCAAGUGGCUGGUGAGAAGCUCUGCAGACAAAGGCCUGGGGAUCCUGAUGGAGAAGAAGUUUGAAAUGAGCCAACAGUGUGCCUGUGUCACACAGGCUAUAUUAAGAAAGCUGUUUCCAGCAGGUUAAGGAAGGUAAUCAGCACUGGUAAGACAGAUCACAGAAUCACAGAAUAAGCUGAGUUGGAAGGGACUCAUAAGGAUCAUUGAAUCCAACCAUUAGCACUGCACAGGACCAUCCACAAGAGCAACAACGUGUGCCUGAGAGUAUCUGGUAUGCUGUGCCUGGUUUUGGGCUCCUCAGUGCAAGAAGGGCAUGGACAUACUAUAGUACACCCAGCAAAGGGUCACAAAGAUGAAUUGGAGCAUGUAUUAUCAUAACUUUAAAAUAGUAUUUGAUUUACAUAAUAUUUCUUUUAUUUGUUUCAUUUGCUUUUAUGUAUUGGUUUUGUUUAUUAUUUAUUUUCUAUCUAUUUAUUUUCUUUCUAAUUUCACUGGCAAAAUAAAUUUUAUGAUGUAAAACAGUAAUAUAUCAAACCAAAGCAAUAGGCAUAAGUAGAAAUAACAAUGAUUUUGUUUUUACCUUUGUUCUUUUGAGAGCUAGUUUAGCUGAGGAGUGUGAUAUUACCUCUCUUUUUAUUUUAAAAAAUGGCAAAAAAUUUCAAUGUUUCGAAAAACGAAGAGGGUUGGCAUGCCUUCAGAACUACCAUCACAUAAUCUGUAAAAUUUGAAAUGUAUGACACAGCAUUUGAUUUUAGAAUGAGCUGUUAUUACAUGAAGAUUGAGCACACAAUAAAAUAAUUAUGAAAAUGAGUAUUCCAUUGUUGUGAUAUAUAGUUUAAGAAUAAUUUUAAAUCAUAUAAAUAUAUUGCUUUCUUUGGACGUCUCUGUUGGAAAAGUGUUUCAGCAAAAGAUGGGGUAGAGUUAGGAAAAUGAGAGAUGUAGCAAACUCUUAAAUGUACUUUCCACACUAAGCAAAUAAAAUCCAAGUUUGUUGUAGCCUAAAGCCAAAUGUCAAGCUUUAUCUUCGCCCUCAGAUGGCAGCUAAAAAGGAACCACAGAGUUUUAAGACACAGGAUCCUACAGGCAGAGCUCAAGCUUAUCAACAGAGAAUCUUUGUCCUCCUCUGUCUCACCUCAGUCUGUGGAGAAAUUGCCUGCGUUUUACGGAGACAGUAGGAAGCAGCCAGUGGAUGCAAUUGUGUUUCCACCUUCAUUUGCUCAAGCACCACUCCUGCAUAGAGGAU
Lepidothrix coronata (blue-crowned manakin) is the source of this 2589-nucleotide long non-coding RNA. RefSeq lists it as uncharacterized. Lineage: Eukaryota; Metazoa; Chordata; Aves; Passeriformes; Pipridae. The record is from RefSeq and is a predicted model, not a curated record. The transcript has 3 exons.